AUCAACGCUGGCGGCGUGCCUAACACAUGCAAGUCGAACGCGAAAGGGGAGCAAUCCCUGAGUAGAGUGGCAAACGGGUGAGUAACACGUGGGUGACCUGCCUUCGAGCGGGGGAUAACGUCCCGAAAGGGACGCUAAUACCGCAUAACAUCCUGGUCUUGGACGACCGGUGAUCAAAGCUGGGGAUUCGCAAGAACCUGGCACUUGAAGAGGGGCCCGCGCCUGAUUAGCUAGUUGGUGAGGUAACGGCUCACCAAGGCUACGAUCAGUAUCCGGCCUGAGAGGGCGGACGGACACACUGGGACUGAGACACGGCCCAGACUCCUACGGGAGGCAGCAGUGGGGAAUUGUUCGCAAUGGGCGCAAGCCUGACGACGCAACGCCGCGUGGAGGAUGAAGACCUUCGGGUCGUAAACUCCUGUCGAGCGGGAAGAAUAGCUUUCGGCGAAUAU
This 452-nucleotide ribosomal RNA is filed under the name uncultured bacterium. RNAcentral describes it as "bacterial SSU rRNA". It matches the Rfam family "Bacterial small subunit ribosomal RNA", at positions 32 to 466 of the family's 1533-position model. The record is from RNAcentral.